AUUGUGGGUUCCCGUGGAAUAACUGUGGAUAUUUCCUUCAAUCAAAACCAAGGUAUCCAGUUAGGGAAGGCUGGGAUAUCCAAUGCCUCAGGUCACACACCAGGCAAGCUGCAGAGAUUCCUGAAGGAACAUCUCAGGCAACUGGGGGUGGUUCAGAUUAUGAUUGGUGUGAAAUUCAUCGUCUAUGGGACACUUGGAAUUACGGCUCUCCAUUACACAAUACACAAAAUUGGUUUCUUCUCAUUUCAGAUAGGCUUCCCCAUAUGGGCAGCUUUAUCUUUUAUUAUUUCUGGAUCUGUGACAGUUGUGUCUGCAAAGAAGCAAACAAAAGCUCUGCUGAGAGGAAAUCUGAGAGCUAACACUUCUCAGCACAAUUGUUUCAGGCACUGGAAUUCUGGUUCUCUCAAACAACUUAAUGAAAAUCACCUUCCUGAAGUUUGAGAAAGAAGAUUUAUGUUCUGGCAUCACAUCAGUUGCAACUGGCCUGGUGGUCGUGCUGAUGCUACUCAACUGUCUGCAAUUUUCAAUCACACUUGCUCUGUGUGUGCUCGCCUAUCAUGUGGACGGCGAGAAAAUUGAUUGGCUUUCAGCAUUAUUUUCCCGGAAAUCAGCUUCAGAGAGUCCUGAUGAAGGCUUGCUGCCUCUCCCUUCACUCUACCAGAAUCUUGAGAGGAAGGACACACUGUUAUACUACAACACCUGAGACAGGAGUACAGGAGUGAGAAUGUGCGGUCAUGAAGGUGGAAACUGGAAAAAUAAAACAACAGAAGGCCGAAAGCUUGUCUGGAUCCUCUUUUAUUGACUCCUGUAAUAUCAACCGGCAUAGACAAUGAUGCCGUAAGAAGAUCUAAUCCCCGAAAUGCUUCUUGUGCUCAUCAUAAUUGGAUCACAUGAGUUGCAUAUCCCAUGUGACCUAAUAGGUCAACAGGUGCACCUGCCAAUUAAAAUCACAUUAAGCCAAAACAGACUGAAGGAUUUAGCCGUGGUUCCAUGGAGGCUUGAGUACAGGUGAAAGCAGGUGAAAGACAGGUCCAUACCAUGGGCCUUCUUUGCUGUCAUGUUUAACCGAUAGAGCUUCUAACCAAUAAAAGAUUUCUUAUUCUCUUUUCAUGUAGGCAAAUCUGAAUAAACAUUACAGCCAUUACCAAUAUCAGAGGCAGCUUCUCAAA
Molecule: RNA transcript, 1169 nt
Organism: Canis lupus familiaris (dog)
Lineage: Eukaryota; Metazoa; Chordata; Mammalia; Carnivora; Canidae
Gene name: high affinity immunoglobulin epsilon receptor subunit beta-like
Exons: 6
Source: RefSeq, a predicted model, not a curated record